RNAcentral lists this ribosomal RNA (322 nucleotides) under uncultured eukaryote. RNAcentral describes it as "partial 18S ribosomal RNA". It matches the Rfam family "Eukaryotic small subunit ribosomal RNA", at positions 1470 to 1796 of the family's 1831-position model. The record is from RNAcentral.
CCCUUAGAUGUCCUGGGCCGCACGCGCGCUACACUGACAUGUUCAACAAGUUUCUCCUAGUUCGACAGGACUGGGAAAUCUUUGAACGCAUGUCGUGAUAGGGAUAGAUCAUUGCAAUUAUUGAUCUUGAACGAGGAGUUCCUAGUAAACGCGAGUCAUCAGCUCGCAUUGAUUACGUCCCUGCCCUUUGUACACACCGCCCGUCGCACCUACCGAUUGAAUGUUUCGGUGAAGAUUCCGGAUAGGACUGAUUUGAUUUAUUUCAUUUCUGACCUAAAAGCUAUCUAAACCUCAACAUUUAGAGGAAGGUGAAGUCGUAACA